This 368-nucleotide ribosomal RNA is filed under the name uncultured organism. RNAcentral's name for it is "bacterial SSU rRNA". It matches the Rfam family "Bacterial small subunit ribosomal RNA", at positions 526 to 896 of the family's 1533-position model. The record is from RNAcentral.
CGGAGGGUGCAAGCGUUAUCCGGAUUCACUGGGUUUAAAGGGUGCGUAGGUGGGUUGGUAAGUCAGUGGUGAAAUCCCCGAGCUUAACUUGGGAACUGCCAUUGAUACUAUCAAUCUUGAAUAUCGUGGAGGUUAGCGGAAUAUGUCAUGUAGCGGUGAAAUGCUUAGAUAUGACAUAGAACACCAAUUGCGAAGGCAGCUGGCUACACGAAUAUUGACACUGAGGCACGAAAGCGUGGGGAUCAAACAGGAUUAGAUACCCUGGUAGUCCACGCCCUAAACUAUGGAUACUCGACAUCAGCGAUACACUGUUGGUGUCUGAGCGAAAGCAUUAAGUAUCCCACCUGGGAAGUACGAUCGCAAGAUUG